Molecule: ribosomal RNA, 634 nt
Filed under: Golovinomyces monardae
Lineage: Eukaryota; Fungi; Ascomycota; Leotiomycetes; Helotiales; Erysiphaceae
Description: eukaryotic LSU rRNA
Rfam family: Eukaryotic large subunit ribosomal RNA
Source: RNAcentral
AGUAACGGCGAGUGAAGCGGUAACAGCUCAAAUUUGAAAUCUGGCUCCUGCGGAGUCCGAGUUGUAAUUUGUAGAAGAUGCUUUGGGAGGUAGGGCCGGCCUAAGUUCCUUGGAACAGGACAUCAGAGAGGGUGAGAAUCCCGUAUGCGGCCGCGGCCUACGCCCGUGUAAAGCUCUUUCGACGAGUCGAGUUGUUUGGGAAUGCAGCUCAAAAUGGGUGGUAAAUUUCAUCUAAAGCUAAAUAUUGGCCAGAGACCGAUAGCGCACAAGUAGAGUGAUCGAAAGAUGAAAAGCACUUUGGAAAGAGAGUUAAACAGUACGUGAAAUUGUUGAAAGGGAAGCGCUUGCACCCAGACUUGGGCGUCGUCGAUCAUCCGAGGUUCUCCUCGGUGCACUCGACGAUGCACAGGCCAGCAUCGGUUUGGGUGGUUGGAGAAAGGCUCUAGGAACGUAGCUCUCUUCGGGGAGUGUUAUAGCCUAGGGCGUAAUGCAGCCCAUCCGGACCGAGGACCGCGCCUUCGGGCUAGGAUGCUGGCGUAAUGGUUGCAAGCGACCCGUCUUGAAACACGGACCAAGGAGUCUAACAUCUAUGCGAGUGUUUGGGCGUUAAACCCAUACGCGGAAUGAAAGUGAA